GAUGAACGCUAGCUACAGGCUUAACACAUGCAAGUCGAGGGGAAACGGCAUUAAGUGCUUGCACUUUUUGGACGUCGACCGGCGCACGGGUGAGUAACGCGUAUCCAACCUUCCCAUGACUAAGGGAUAACCUGCCGAAAGGCAGACUAAUACCUUAUGGUCUUCACUGACGGCAUCAGAUGUGAAGUAAAGAUUUAUCGGUUAUGGAUGGGGAUGCGUCUGAUUAGUUAGUUGGCGGGGUAACGGCCCACCAUAGGCAACGAUCAGUAGGGGUUCUGAGAGGAAGGUCCCCCACAUUGGAACUGAGACACGGUCCAAACUCCUACGGGAGGCAGCAGUGAGGAAAUAUU
RNAcentral lists this ribosomal RNA (350 nucleotides) under Prevotella sp. oral taxon 298. RNAcentral's name for it is "bacterial SSU rRNA". It matches the Rfam family "Bacterial small subunit ribosomal RNA", at positions 28 to 366 of the family's 1533-position model. The record is from RNAcentral. Lineage: Bacteria; Pseudomonadati; Bacteroidota; Bacteroidia; Bacteroidales; Prevotellaceae.